Long non-coding RNA from Juglans regia (Persian walnut), 1898 nucleotides. RefSeq lists it as uncharacterized. The record is from RefSeq and is a predicted model, not a curated record. NCBI's taxonomy places the organism in Eukaryota, Viridiplantae, Streptophyta, Magnoliopsida, Fagales, Juglandaceae. The transcript is spliced from 2 exons.
CUUGGUAACGCGAGCUUGUGACCCGAGUGGGGGCACCAAAGCGAUGGGACGUUGGCAUAUUAUACUGGUUCGGGCUCUAGUGGCUUCUUACUGGCCUGCCCGUUCCAAGCCAAGAGUUGAGCCGGGUGGCUUGGGCGAAGGCCUUCGGGUUACGUGGUUCCUAGAGGUGGAGGGCACAGCGUGAGGCUGGUUUCACAGAGCAGCGACUACCUCCCGCUCCUGGCAGUGGAAGGAUAACGGGCUAGUGCCGCUCGAACCCAACAAGAUCCGGUGGAUUUGAUCCAGCUGGACCAUCACUUUUUUAUAUCAAUCAUUCGGUUUCUCUAAUGCUUAAUCCAAUUCUUUUGUUUGGAUGGAUGAUGUUCUGAUGUGUUCGAUUUUUAGGGAUGAAAAGUAAUUGAUACCCCCCAGUGGCAAAGAACUCUCUAGGAGUGGAGAGAUAGAAUUUUUACUAAUGAACCAUCCAUUGGAUUUUGUCCGAUCUGUGACCAGGGUGGUGGAGAAUUUUUGAGAAUUUUUACUAUGGCAUUUGGAUCUGAUCGUGGUCGGUUCUCUGAGAUGAAGAGAUCGGUGGUGGAUAAGAAUCUUGGUCCUCUGGUGAAGACUGCGAUGACUCGGUGCAUAGGGUCAGAAUCAGGGAUUUUUUAUAUUUUAACUAUAGAGCUGAUCAUUUGACUGCCCGCAAAAAACUUUUCUCUUCAUAGAAUGCCAUAUGGCGCUUCCAAUCCCCAGAAGAAUGGGAAAGUAAGGCACAACUAAAAGUGGAUCCCAGUUGUGAAUAGUAAUCAGCUGAUGCAAAUCUGCAAUCAAAGACAUCUGAUGAGAAGUAGCAUUGCUGGUUUUGAACAAGCAGAUGUGUUCCUCUCGGUCGGUACCCAGGUAAAUUUCUGAUGUAGUCAAUUCUUCGAGUAGGGGACACAUGGUCCUAACUAAUGCUUCCUUAACUAAAACUUCUUCUAAAUUAAUCCAUCACAUUGUCCAAUGUAUCAAGGUCCAUUUGUUUGCUAUUCAUGUGAGGUUCCAAAGGUGUUCUUUGUUAGGGAAUUACAUCUGUGCACCCUUCACCCUUCUUGUUCUCUUUCUCCUUUACUCCAUUAUUCAGCAUCUCCAUCACAAAACCCUUGCUAGUUUCCUAUUACUUCGAUUGUGUGGUAACCUGCGACCUCUGUAUCUUUUUAUUUUUAUUUUUUAUGUAUUGAGAUUGUGAAUCAGUGGAUAAGUAGUGCGUUUUUGUUGCAGAGGCUAGUAAAUCUUGUUUUUAUAUGUAGGUCUGGAUUUAGUUAUAUAAUUUUUCUCAUAGUAAUAUUGCCAGCCAAGGGUCGAAGCUGCCAUGGUAAAUGCUAGAAUCCGAAAGACAGUCUGUGCAACCCAAGCUAAGGUUGAGGUUACAUUGGCCCUGCAGCUGAUUUCAACCAUGAUCACCAGCAUCUUGGCACAGACCCUCAAAACACUUGUUGAGGUCCGCUACCCGUUUUCCUCUGCCCUAGUUAAUUAAUGCCAAAAACCCUGUGAUCAUUGUCGGUGCAGGUCUUUUUGAGAGGAAGGACAUGGAUGCCAUUUUCUCUGCUAUUUCACCAUUGCAAAACGUUCCAACGUUGUCAGACCUGAUUGGAAUGGUUUCAAUGCAUAAUGCAAGCACUCAUAAAUUACAUAUAACCAUGCAUGAUGCAAGCACUCAAAAAAUUACAAGGAAAAGACAGUCUCGGGCAAUAAAGAUAACAAUAUAACUAUUCCAAUAAUGGAGAUCCGACCCUUUCGUUUUGUCAUUGAUACAAAACCCAUUAUUUAACACAAGAGGGAGAUUCAUGAAGGAAGCAAGCAAUAAGCUCACCUUACAGCCCCGUAUACAAUGGCAAAUGAUGCAGAAAAUAACAGGACAGUACUACUCUAAUGGAAAG